This 2388-nucleotide ribosomal RNA is filed under the name Triticum aestivum (bread wheat). RNAcentral describes it as "partial small subunit ribosomal RNA". The record is from RNAcentral. Lineage: Eukaryota; Viridiplantae; Streptophyta; Magnoliopsida; Poales; Poaceae.
CCUCAAUCAAUCCCGAAUCCCCCCUCUCCGCAGCGAGCGGAGGUGUGGUCUAAGCGUAAAAUAAAAGAACUGAGCGGGCAGGUACAGUGCGAGAGGAGCGGAGAAGGAGGGUGGGCAAAGCGGGGGGAAGAGAAGGGGCGGCCUCGUGAGGCGGCGCGGAGAGGCCGGCAGAGGCCGGCUGUCCGUCAUGCUUAUCGGCGCCUUCUGGCCCGUGCGCCACACCGACCUUCAAUAACGCCAAGUAUAUCGUAGGGUGUGUGCGCGUCAAGGUCGGGGCAGGCACGAGACGACUUAGGUUCCAGCGACCGCGCAUGGAGAGGAAGGGACUCCGUGUUCCCAGCAGGUGGAAGCCUACGUGUUUUACUCAGCAGUAGGAGGUUCCCUAGCAGUAGGAGGUUUCCUAGCAGUGGGAGGUUCCCUAGCAGUAGUAGCCGACUUGUUUUAUCUAAAAGUAGUAGCCCACCUGUUUUACCUAGAAGUAGGAGGUUAUUUCUUUAUGUACCCAACCGACUCGUUUCAACAAUUUUCAAGCCAUUUAUUUCAAUAUUCUCCUGUCAUGCUGCCCUUGAAAUCACUUCCGAUAAGUUGGGUCGUGCGAUGCAGUGUACCAUGUGUAUGGUCACUGUUACUUCUGUAACUAGCACGAUAACGUAAUAGGAAUAGUCUCCUUCCAGUUUCCUUCCCUUUCCGGUAACUAUGACUACUAGUAAAUCUUCUACUUCUCGAACGUGCCCGAGACGUUCUUUCAGACUUUCUAUUUGUAGGAGAAGCAGUCUUCUAAGGCCGCCCCCCUCAAGUGAGUCUAUCAUGAGGUCGUUGAUCGGAUGACGGUCUAUAGAACGGUAGUUCAUCUAGCUCCCAAACACGACCUACAUUUUGAGGUGAACCUGUACCUGUCAAAGAGUCAACAUACCUAAGACAAACCGUGGGAGUCACGAAGUCCACAAGUCGAACGUCACUCGGUUAUAGUCUGAGACUCAAACGUCAUGUACUUCUAGUAGGUAUGGUGUCAAGGACGAUGUUCCUCUUGAAAGUAGGUUUUACACUACAAACGUUCUUGAAAUAAGCUUGUUUAUUUUUACCAAAUUAACUUAUGGCCCGGGUAGGAAAGACCUACGUCUUCAUAACAGGAAGCGUACUGUUACUGCCAUGAGGAUCCACAACGUCAACGCUUGCUUACCUCGGUUUCCUAUAGUUCAUGUAUUGUAAUCUACUACCGGCCUUCGAGACGAACCUCACAGAUAUAUGAAGUUAUUACCUGUGUCUGCUCACGGUUGGUCAUAUGUAACUAUAGGUCCUUAAGAUACUCCCAAACUUGUACUUUCAUCUCGUUGUCUAGGGGAACGAAAACCAACUUGCAGUUCCAAAUUUACUUCGGUCCCUUCAUCUCUUUUACCAUUCACUAUACUAUAAGUGGUAAAACAUUACAUACAACUAAUUGAUAAUUGGACGAACUAAUCCCCGUAGUGGAAGGACUUUGAUCCCCAGAGACGGAUAGCCUUCUCGUUUAACAGUCUUACUAUAGCUCUGCUGGUUAUGAACCUGGUCCUUUGUUUUACUAUCUGUAAAGAUGUCGUGGUGUGUUUGAUCAAGCCGCCACACUUCACUGACGUUAAGAACAUGAUAUACGAAACGGUUCUGACGAGUGUCCGAUAUAAGAUCGAGUACUCUACUACGUACGUAUGGAAGCUGAAUUUCCUAUGGCCUAGGAAUCAGGUCUCCAACUUCUUCCGUAGACAGUCCAGGAUCGAGUAGAGACCGAACUCAGACUUUAGCAUAGUCCAAGUUCAUCAUCGUAACGUUGGUGUAGACUUCGUCGUCGACAUCGUCGUCUUCAUCGUCAUCGUCGUCUUCGUUGUCACUGUGGAAGAAGUUGUAGAAGGAGACGCUUUUUCCCACUUUUCUGACUGAAACUCUUUUUUGAACCUCUUAAGAAGUUCGUGGUCUAGCUUUGUCUAGGGAGACGUUAUAUACCUCUACCCAAAGCUCGACCGUAAGCUCGUCAACUUGCGAUACCGAACUCUCCAUGAGAACUAGUAUAGUUCGCAAGUCCAAGAAAAGGUUCAACUCCAUCCCAAAACGUAGAAGUAAAACACUCGUACCCCGUAUAGGAUACUCCCGAAAAACCAAGUUUCAAUCCGUAUGGUUUACGAUAUGCGUAUUCUACUGUUUAUCUUGUGUCAUUUUUUCUUCUCCUAAAUCAGUAGUAUAUGGUAUUUAACGUCCCUAGAAAAGACAACACGAAAUCUAUACUUAAACAGUUCCACUAUCGUUUGUAACAUCUCAUAACUAUAAACUAUAUGUCUUUCUUUCACCUUACAUAAAGCUACAGACUUUCGUUACGGAAAGACAUACACGCAUACCCCGAGGUAAAAAUGCAGAACGGAU